UGCCUGUGAUGUGAGAAAAUAUUUGCUACUCUUAGCGUCUGAUGAUUAUUUCCACCAAGAUCUCUGAGUCA
This is a small nucleolar RNA of Hibiscus syriacus, 71 nucleotides long. RefSeq annotates it as small nucleolar RNA SNORD24. The transcript has a single exon. Lineage: Eukaryota; Viridiplantae; Streptophyta; Magnoliopsida; Malvales; Malvaceae. The record is from RefSeq and is a predicted model, not a curated record.